This 377-nucleotide ribosomal RNA is filed under the name uncultured bacterium. RNAcentral's name for it is "bacterial SSU rRNA". It matches the Rfam family "Bacterial small subunit ribosomal RNA", at positions 523 to 898 of the family's 1533-position model. The record is from RNAcentral.
ACACGUAGGGGGCGAGCGUUGUCCGGAAUUACUGGGCGUAAAGGGCGUGUAGGCGGCAUUGCAAGUCAGGUGUGAAACCCCUAGGCUUAACCUGGGGCUUGCAUUUGAAACUGUGAUGCUUGAGGGCAGGAGAGGCAAGUGGAAUUCCUAGUGUAGCGGUGAAAUGCGUAGAGAUUAGGAAGAACACCAGUGGCGAAGGCGACUUGCUGGACUGGCCCUGACGCUGAGGCGCGAAAGCGUGGGUAGCGAACAGGAUUAGAUACCCUGGUAGUCCACGCCGUAAACGAUGGGUACUAGGUGUUGGGGGUAUCGAACCCCUCAGUGCCGCAGUAAACGCAUUAAGUACCCCGCCUGGGGAGUACGGUCGCAAGGCUGAA